This 572-nucleotide long non-coding RNA is filed under the name Homo sapiens (human). RNAcentral's name for it is "novel transcript". The record is from RNAcentral. Lineage: Eukaryota; Metazoa; Chordata; Mammalia; Primates; Hominidae.
AGCUGCAGCAGAAGAGCGGAAAUGUCAAACGUGGAGGGCUGUGCCUGGCUGCUCCUGAGAAAACUGGAAGAUGGUGUGCCAUGUCAGAUCACGAGGCCACGAAGUGCACCAGUUUCCGAGACAAUAUGAAAAAAGUGUUUCCAGCAGAUGGUCCCCUUGUCACCUGCGUGGAGAGAGCGUCUUCCCUUGAGUACAUUAAAGCCAUCACAGAACAUUUUGGAAAAGACAAGUCGUCAGAAUUUCAGCUCUUUGGCUCUCCUCAUGAGACAGAUCUGCUGUUUACUGAUGCUGCCCAUGGGUUUUUAAUGGUCCCACCUAAGAUAGAUGCCAAGCUGUACCUGGGAUAUGAGUAUUUUUCCGCGACUCAGGAUCCAAAAAGAGGCAAACGAAGCGGAUGCUGUGACACUGGAUGCAGGUUUGGUGUAUGAUGCUUACCUGGCUCCCAAUAACCUGAAGCCUGUGGUGGCAGAGUUCUAUGGGUCAAAAGAGGAUCCACAGACUUUCUAUUAUGCUGUUGCUGUGGUGAAGAAGGAUAGUGGCUUCCAGAUGAACCAGCUUCGAGGCAAGAAGUC